UCUUUCUGCUACGAAUGUUAUUUGUAUCUUCUUUCCAAUGCCAAAUUAUUUUUUAAGAUAUAAUUAUUUCAUAUCCUGUGAAAUAAAUGAUUUGCACAUUUGUCUGUUUUGUAUUUUAUUCCUCUGCUUUGCUAUGUGGCUGUGUUAAGUCUAACCAGCGUCUCUUUUUUGUAGAUGAUUCUUGAAAAGAAAGUGAACAGCCGUCCAAAGGAGCAAAUGCAGAGAGAAGACAUUCAGUUAAGUCAGUCUCAACCCAGACCCUUUUUGCCAUAUUCCAAUUCUGCGACUUUAACCACCAGGAAAAGCCAGAGAGCACCAACACCGCCUCUCCUAAAGCAUCCACACACGCAUGCUGGAGCUACAGCUCAUGUCCAGCCAGAAGUAUCCAGCCAGAGUGAAGACGGAGCGAGAUCUCUAUGUCAGAGAUCGAGGAUCAGUGUGAUCUACAACCCCAUAACACACUCUACUGUUCAAACAGGUAAUGCAAAUUCUGGUGCUGUGAUCAGGAACUAUUCUGCACCACCUCCGCAACAGGCAAGAACCGCCAGCAAUGGGAAACCGAGGAGACAAAAUACACGGGCAAAUGCAAACACUCAGCUACUUCCUACAAGUGUACAGAACCUUUGUAAUGGAGAAGAUCAUGCUACACAUACCCUGUGCUUUAUAUUUGUUCCCUAAAAGGCUAACACUGACCAUUGGCAGUGACAAGACAUCGGGGUAGAUGCUCUCCAGGAUUGUGACUGAUCAUAUGUUAG
RNAcentral lists this long non-coding RNA (755 nucleotides) under Numida meleagris (helmeted guineafowl). Its description in RNAcentral is "lncRNA (ENSNMEG00000003739.1)". Lineage: Eukaryota; Metazoa; Chordata; Aves; Galliformes; Numididae. The record is from RNAcentral.